AGUACGGUCCUGUUGUUUAUUGACGAGCUAACGCGUCAAGUGAAACAAAGUGUAAUAUUUGUUAAAAAUACAAUUUUUUUUUUCAAAUUAUAUAAAGAAAAAAUAAUAAAAUCACCUUCGUAUAUAUCGACGUAAAUAAAUUUUACUACAAAACCUAAUAGAUAUUAGAAACGAGAAAAAAGUAAAGUGAGGUUAUGUUUAUAAAUGAACGUAUCCAAUUUCGAUGAGAUUUUGUAGUAAUAAGACCAGAAAGUGGAUAGAAUAAGGAAAAUUAGCCACAAUGAAGUGCGAUUAAAUCGACAGAACUUCGGGAAAAGAGAAAAUAUUAGAGAAAACAAACAAAAUAAACAUUUAAAAGAGAAAAAAAGUUGAAAGAGAAUGUGAAAUGUGAAAUUUGGAGGAAAACAAAUGAAAUGACUAUUCGAAAGAAAGAAAAAGAAUUUAACAAGAAAGUAAUAUAAAUAAAAACAAUUGAGGUACAUAUGUAAGAAAGUCAAUAAAAGAGAACUAGACAAAAUUGUAGAAAAAGAAAUAAUCUAAAUACAGAAAACGAUUAAACACAACUAAUAUGGUAAAAUUUGAAAAGAAACAGUUUGAAAUACUUUAGGAAACGAGAAAAUAUGAAAGAGAACUUAAUAAUGUGAAAUUUGGAGAAAAACGUAUAACAUCCAGCAGUAGGGAAGUAAAUAAGAAACAAUUAUGAUAAUUGUAGAAGAAGAAAUAAAAGUAACAAUCAAAAUACGAAGAGAUGAAAAAGAAUUUAACAAUGUGAAAUAGGGAUGAAAAUAUUUGGGGUGCAUCAAGGAGAAAGAAAAUAAAGAGACAAAAUCGUUGGAAGAAAUGAAAGAAAAAAUUUGAUUGAAAUAUUCAAGACUCACCGUUUUGUGUCAAUUUUGUCGAACAAAUAUUAUUAGAAAUACUGAAAGAGUCUUUGGUGGACAUGAUCAAACCGGGCACUUGCGGUCUCUCCUUCCCACAGUCUUUGAUAUCUUCGAUUUUCGAAGGCAAAGAAAAAUAUUCCAAACUUUUCUCGUCGAAUUUUUUAUGAUCUAUUUUAUAGACAAUCAGAUUGUGUUUGGCGUCUUUCAGCGUCGUACCGUCGUCCUCCAUCAAUUUGACAUAACACAUACCGAACGGCUUUUCGCUUUUGUCUUUCACUUCGUUCGUGGAACGGUGUUUGAAUUGGAAUUUCAAAUGACUAGUUUUGAAUUCUUCUAUCGGUAUAGCUACUUUGAACGUUUCGUGCCAUUGGGGUUUGUCUUCGUGAUAAUAUGUUA
Diorhabda carinulata is the source of this 1277-nucleotide long non-coding RNA. RefSeq lists it as uncharacterized. The record is from RefSeq and is a predicted model, not a curated record. NCBI's taxonomy places the organism in Eukaryota, Metazoa, Arthropoda, Insecta, Coleoptera, Chrysomelidae. The transcript has 2 exons.